UUUCAAUUUCUCCCGUGUUAGUUCAUCACUGGCCUUCGCCCUUCCCGCAUCAAUUCAUCAAUCAUCACUGUGCCAAUGUGCCUUCGCCCUUCUUUCUAGCAUCACCUUCUCUAACUAGUCUAGAUUUGUAUGUUUUUUGUUAUUUCUAGAUUGAUUUUUUUUUUUGCUCAAAUUUUUGUUUUUCUAUUAAAGAGUUGUAAAUUUUUUGUUUUUCUAUUUGGACAUUGAGCAUGAACAUUCGGCAUGCAUUAACAAAGGUUUCUUGGGUCCUUUGUUUUUUUUUUUAAAUUAAAAAUUAGUUGUCUGUUAUAUACCAUGACAUGUAAAUUGUAAUACCGAGGUUAGCAUUGAGAUAAGAAUAGGGCAAUUUACAGGGCAUCAGGACACCUAAAACAUCUGUGCUUUGGCCAUAUUUGUCGGAAGCAGUCGUGCUAAAAAAUGAUCAUGUCCUUUGGUUAUGUUCUUUAUCAAGCCAAAACCAAGAUAGUUUCACUGCCUAAUUUUUAGAAGUCUUUCCCUGGUUAUGUCCUUUGUUUUUUUUUUUUUAUUACCUCUCAUUUGGUGAUUAAUUAUAAAAUUAUAACCUGCAUGUCGAUGAACCUAUGUUCACUGAAAAUUGGCGAACUAUUGACUAUGGGCUAACCUUUUGUCAAGUUUUUUUUUUGAGCGGCCAGUAGUUGUGUGGUUGUAUAGGUAGCUUAUUGGCUUUUCCCCUCAUCCGCCCAUCCCUUCCUUUUUUUUUUUUUUUGCUGUUCAUAUUUGUAAUCUGCAACUAGUGUGAUUUGUCUUUCAAGUUUGUUAAUAUUUCUUGUAAUCAAGUCUUCUGUGGUUGUGUUAUUCGUUAAUAGUUACUUGCUUAUAAAUCUGGAACCAUGUUUUUGUUUUUCUUUACAUACUGAUUUUAGAUGUGGAUGAGCUCCCUUGUUCUAUAGAUUUUGACAUUGUCAGAGUCCAAUAGCAAGUUUAAUCAUUUUGUGAAUUGGUUUCAACCUGUCUUAUUUUAGUAUUAAUUAAAACUUUAAAUUAAGUUCUUCAAUGAGUUAAUAAUUUUAUAGUUGAUAUUGAUUUUCAAAAAACUUGAACUGGUUGAUAAUUUUUUAAUUAAUUAAUUGAUGAAUUUAACAAAUAUUAUAGUCUUUGCAUUCCCACAAGAAACCUUAGUUACUAUUGGCCUCAUUGAUCAUCAAUAUAGUUUCAAAAAUGAAUGUAACAAUGUAAAAUUUUGCCUAGUUACAUGAAUGACUAUGGGGAUUGGUGCAUUUGCUCUGAUUCCAAGUUUAUUUUUAUAGUAGUUUAUACUUGUAUUUGUGUGCUGUCAUGUACUCUUACAUAACUAAAUAAUCUUUACAUUCAAGCUAUAUAUGUAAAGUAUUUCUUUCAUUCAUAUAUAUGUCCUUGUGGGUGUGUGGAUAUCUAUUAAUAGUUGUAGUAAGCCAGCUUCAGAACGAUAUUAUAUUCCUUUCAUUUAAAAAAAUUAUUGAAAUUCUUAUUGCUUCAAAUGAGAUCCUUUUCAAGUACUGUCGAGCAUGUUAAAAUUUAGCUAUGCCUUGCCCGAACUCUUUUUACUAAAUUACCAUAUUAAAAUAUCUUUAGCCUUUUGGCAGUAAUAUGUGUUGUUCAUAUAUUUGCUAGUGAUUGAUUCUUGAAUUACAUAUUUGCUAAUCAAUUGAUUCUUUUUGAGUGGCAAAUUGAAAAUUUCAAUGGCAAGUCAAAGCGAAUAUCUAACUCUUACUCCUAGUGAUGCUACUACGCCUAGUGUUGCCAUAUCGUCAUCGUCACCAUAACUAACUACAUAACAAACUGCAAUCUCUACCAAUGAAAGUGAAGCUGUUCAUUCUAAGAAAAGGAAAGCACUUCCACCAAUGUCUGAAGUUUGGAAACACUUCACCAGAUUCAUCAAUAAUCAAGGCGAAAGUAAAGCUAGAUGUAAUUAUUGUGGUAGGGAACUUUCUGUUAAUACUAAAUAUAAUGGCACAAAUGCAUUAAAGAAUCACAUGAAUUCUUGCAAAAAGUUUUCUAGUGCUCUUGAUUAUAUUCAAAUUGAAUUAGCUUUUCAAUCGGAUGAUGGGUCAGCAGGAACAUGGAAAUUUAGUCAAGAAGCCAUUAAAAAGACUCUAGCUAAGAUGAUUGUUAAAGAUGAAUUGCCUUUUAGAUUUGCAGAAGGGAAAGGAUUUAAGGAAUUCAUGUCAACGUCAUGCCUUAGAUUUAUUGUGCCAUCACGAUGAACUGUUGCUAAAGAUUGCUAUAACUUGUUUAUUGAUAGAAAGAACCAUUUCAAGCAUAUAUUAAGAACAUAUUCUUUUCUAGUUUUUUUGACUAUAGACACAUGGGCAUCAAUUCAAAAAGUGAAUAAUAUGUGUCUUACGGCUAACUUCAUAGACAAUAAUUAGAAAUUGCACAAAAGAUUUUAAACUUUGUCUUGUUUAUAGUCACAAAGGUGAAGCUAUAGGGAAAACGAUUAAUAAAUGUUUGUGUGAUUGGGGGAUUUGUAAGAUUUCACUAUUACUGUUGAUAAUGCUAAUUCUAAUGACCCUGCAAUAGCUCAUAUGAAGAAAAAAUUGAACUUAUCAGGAAAUAGUUUAUUAGAAAGCAAAUUUCUACAUAUGAAAUGCAUUGCACAUAUCAUUAAUUUCAUUGUCAUUGAUGGAUUGAAGGAAAUGAAUGAUUCAAUUGCUUGUGUUAGAGAGGUAGUUAGAUUCAUGAGAUAGUCACCUACUAGGUUAGCAAAGUUCAAAAGAAUGUGUUAAGUCUGCAAAUAUUCAAUCAAAGAAUUUGUUGUGUUUGGAUGUUAGUAUUAGAUGGAAUUUCACUUACCUGUUAGAAACAACUCAAAAGUUUGAAACAACAUUUAAUUCAUUUGAGGAAGCCAAUCCUUGUUAUAGAACUAAUUUGUUGAUGGGAAAUGGGAUACUUAAACAUGAGGAUUGGGAAAAUGUUAAGAGGUUACAUAUUUUCUUGAAGCAUGAGGAUUGAGAAAAUGUUAAGAGGUUAAAUAUUUUCUUGAAACAUUUUUAUACACAUAGUAAAAGUUUUAGGUACUUCUUAUGCCAUUAUUAAUACUUUUCUUGAUGAUUUUUGUAGUGUUUAUUGCAUUUUGAGAAAUAGGCAAAGAAAUCUUGAAGUUGAGUUGCAAACAAUGGCAAAGAGAAUUAAAGAAAAAUUUGAUAAGUAUUAAGGAAAUAUAGAAAAAAUAAAUAAGUUGCUCUGUGUUGCCUCUAUUCUUAAUCCAAGGAGUAAACUUGUGUUUAUGGAGUUUUGUUUGCGAAAAAUGCAUUCGAAUGAGUAGGCUUUAUCGAUUUGUACAAGUUUGAAAAAAACAAUGAAAGAGUUGCUAGCUGAAUACCAAAAAAAGGUACAACCGUCUCUUUUUGAGAAAAUUGGUGACAAUAGCUAAUCCCAAGUGAGCCAAAUUUCAAAAGUUACUCAUAUUUUGACUCUAUUGCUAGUGUUGCUCUUCUGAAUGAACUUAAGAGAUCUAAGAUUGCAAUUAGUAGGGAAGAGGAUAAAUCAAAAUUGGAGAAGUAUUUGAGUUUAAAUGAGCCUGAUGUAACCGAUAACGAUGACUUCAAUGUUCUCAUUUUGUGGAAACUCAAUAAUCAUAGGUAUCCUACUCUUGCCUUACAAGUUCAUGAUGUAUUGGUGAUUCCUCCAUCCAUAAUUGCUUCGGAAUCAGUUUUUAGCACUGGUGGUUGGGUGCGUGCAGCAUAUAGGAGUUCUUUAAGUCCGAAGAUGGUGCAAGCCCUUAUUUGUGCUCAAGAUUGACUACAUUGAUCUUUUUACUAUCUUAGUGACACUGUGAAUGAUUUGGUAGAGCUUGAAAAAAUUGAUGAAAAUAAGUAUUUUAUUUAUAUCGUCAUUUCAUUUUUGUUGUUUCAAUUGUUAAUAUGUUAUUGCUUUAUUUCUUUUUUUUUUGUUUAAAGCUUAUUUUUUGUUUUUAUGUAUUUUAAAGUUGUCAAAGAUUGCAGUGGACCAUGUACUUGAUAAUCUUUGAG
Molecule: long non-coding RNA, 3992 nt
Filed under: Theobroma cacao (cacao)
Lineage: Eukaryota; Viridiplantae; Streptophyta; Magnoliopsida; Malvales; Malvaceae
Description: long non-coding RNA (TCAC_LNC000216)
Source: RNAcentral